UUCCUGGUGGUCCAGUGGCUAAGACUCUGUGCUCCCAAUGCAAUGGGCUUAGGUUCAAUUCCUGGUUGGGGAA
Molecule: transfer RNA, 73 nt
Filed under: Bos taurus (domestic cattle)
Lineage: Eukaryota; Metazoa; Chordata; Mammalia; Artiodactyla; Bovidae
Also listed under: 2 other names
Rfam family: tRNA
About the family: Transfer RNA (tRNA) molecules are approximately 80 nucleotides in length. Their secondary structure includes four short double-helical elements and three loops (D, anti-codon, and T loops).
Source: Rfam by way of RNAcentral